This is a long non-coding RNA of Psammomys obesus (fat sand rat), 1159 nucleotides long. RefSeq lists it as uncharacterized. NCBI's taxonomy places the organism in Eukaryota, Metazoa, Chordata, Mammalia, Rodentia, Muridae. The transcript has 5 exons. The record is from RefSeq and is a predicted model, not a curated record.
UCUGGCUCUACCUAAUAUUGCUGGAUAACUAAUAUAUGAGCAUAACCAAUAUAAUAUUCUUUAUAGGAGUUUCAUGGCCCCAUCCAAAUAAUUUCACAACAGCCAACCUCUGCCUCAGAGACACUGCAAAUGAUGCUAUUUCAAACUGGCAUGAUGGUGCAUGACUGCAAUCUCAGCAAUCAGAAGACUGAGGCAGGAUAACUGCUGCAAGUUUGAGGCCUGCCUGGGCUACAUAGCAAGAUCUUGUAUCAAGGACGAUGACGAUGACGAUCAACUGUGGACAUUUUAUAAGAUAUUUAUGACUCCCAUUCACUGACCACCUACUAUCGGGGCUGGCUCCAUGUUUGAUCAUUUACAUAUGCAAUCUCUUUCUUUCAAAAAGCCGACAGGUUGCAGGUGAUCCCAUGAGUCAAGUGGUGGAUAUCCAGGACCCGGCAGCAAGAUCAGCGCAACCUCCUAGCUUCUCUUUCUGACUCCAAUAGGGCAAUGAGCACGGAAAGAAGAAAGUAUCACUUCCCAACUUGGACAAAUAUUAAAAACUUCUGACUGGAAACUCAAUAGACUAUGGAUUCGGCUUCUUAACAGGGAUUUUUUAAAAUAUCUUGUUACUUUAGUCUGCAGUAGUCAAAAUUCAAAAAGCAACAACAACAACAACAAAGAAAAGCAAACUGAAAAGACCUGCCACAGAGGGCCUCUGAAAGCCUCUGCAGUAUAGACUGUCAAAGCAGAUGCUGAGCCUGAUGGACAACUGAUGGGCAGAGUGAAUGGAAUUUUAUGUAAGAAGUGGGAAAUAGUAAGAGCUGGAGGGGACAGGAACCCCACAAGGAGAGCAACAGAACAAGAUAAUUUGAACACAGGGAACUUCCCAGAGACUCAUACUCCAACCAAGGACUAUUCGUGGAGAUAACCUAGAACCCCUGCACAGAUGUAGCCCAUGGCAGUUCAGUGUCCAAGUGGGUUACAUAGUAAUGGAAAGAGGGACUGCCUCUGACAUAAUCUGAUUGGCCUGCUUGUUGAUCACCUCCCCCUGAGGGGGGAGCAGCCUUACCAGGCCACAGUAGAGGACAAUGCAGCCACUUUUGAUGAGAACUGAUAGACUAAGUUCAGAAAAGAGAGGAGAACCUCCCCUAUCAGUGGACUUGGGUAGUAGCAUGCAUGC